RNAcentral lists this unclassified non-coding RNA (3043 nucleotides) under Hevea brasiliensis (rubber tree). The record is from RNAcentral. Lineage: Eukaryota; Viridiplantae; Streptophyta; Magnoliopsida; Malpighiales; Euphorbiaceae.
AAAAAAUUCAAAACACAGCCGUCUUAUAGUGGUCACGGCCGUCUUCCUUGUCAAAUAGUGGUCGCGGCCGGUGAUACGGACGGCACAGAAUAACAUUUCUCCCACUGAAUCUCUCUCGCCUAUUCAGCGUCUAUCGGCUAAGUCCACCGCCUACAAACACCAUAGCCGAACGCCAUUCGCCGCUAGGUUGGCCUUUUAACCCCUGAAUCAAAUCGCGGCUCCUCAUGAGAAGAUCCACGGAAGUGCACAUUGUGUAACUUACUGAUAACCCUAUCAUGAAAUUCUCAUACAAGCAAUAAGCGAUAUAAAUUCUCAUACUGUUUCCCAGGCCAAGACGCAUCCUUGCUAACGAUUUCCGCCAGAAAUCCACCGAGCAUGGUUCUCAAGGUCUCUUGAAACAAUUAUUUGAAUGCUUUUAUGGCUAUAGCUACAAGAAUUAGAGAGAUAUUGGAGAAUGUGGGGCUAGCACAAGAGAGUUUGCCCUCAGAUGUGGUUGGGUCAGCUCAAGUUCUUGCAAAUGUGGCAAACUUGUUGAACAUAAGAGAUACUGAACUAAAUAGGUGGAUUUGUCAUUCUGGCUCUUCAAUUCUAUAUCUUUUAUUUUGUUCUUAAUAUUUGAAGUUUUAAAUGAAGAAAAUGCAUAUAGUUUUCUUGUAACAAUGGGGGAUAUUUCCUUGAGGGUGGAGGAAAAGGCACAGAGGGCUAAAGCACAAAAGGAGUCCAAAAUUCUUCUUGAUUACACUCGGAAGGCAAUAGCAAGACUUACCUAUUUAAAAAGGCAAAUUCCUAAAUUUAAUUUUAGAUUCUUCUUCAAUAAUUUUUUAAGUUGUGGUCUGUCAUAUCUACUAAUAUUAGAUCUCCAAACUUUUCUACUUUAAACAAAUUGUUGUUUCAUGAACAGGAUACUCUCUCUCUCUCUCUCUUAUUUUCCCUUUUUUGCUCUCUUAUUUUCUGAACGGGCUUUGGUAGAAUGCUUGGACAACUUGAGGAAGAUGUAGCUCCUUGCGAAGACAAACCUGGCAGUUAUGGCAUCAAAGAAGCGAUAAUAUCUGCAACAAUAUUCCAACUAAAAGGGUAUUUUCUGAAUCCUCAGUACCAAUAUGGUCCAUGUGAUAUUGGAGACGACAAUGAAAUCAUGUUGGGAUUGAAAAAUGUGAUAAUGAGGCUAGAGAGUGAUUUAGUGAAUCAAGGUCAUACAUUAAACUAAGUAAGUGCAUAGCUAAGUGAAUUUAGCUCUCAAUUAGCUAGAAUUAAUAAUGGACUUAAUAAUAUGGAUUUCAUGUUAUUGGGUAGGCACUAAUGUUUAGAGAAAAAAUGGAGAGCUUUGGUACCACUUUAGCACAAAGAGCUAUUAAGUUAACCGAUCCAGGUAAAACUAAACUUUUAUUGUUUAUUAGUAAGUAUUGCUAAUUUCAAGCCAAUAUUAAAGUAUAUUGUUCAUUGAACUAUCACGUAACUAAGUGGUGAAUUAAUUAUGGUGAAAGUGCUCCUGAACUGCAAAGAAUUGCCAUUAAAAUGUUGAGCCAAACAACAUCGGCAUCUAAUUGUGAAAGAAAUUGGAGCACAUUUUCCCUUAUAAACACAAAGACAAGAAACAAAUUACGGUAUCAAAAAUUACAUGUACUUGCCUUUGUUUAUUAUAAUAUAAUGCUAAAAGUCAAAAGUCUUACAAGGAAAAGCCAAUAAGAGUUAGAAAAAAGGUAUAAUCCAAUUCAUUUGGAUUAUAUUUUUGAGGAAGAUAAUCCACUAAAUCCUUGGUUGGAGGAAAGAGAAUCACCUCUUAUUGAUGGUGAAUCAAAUUCAUGGUUAGAGAAUGAUGAUGAUGUUAAUGCUCCAUCACAAUACAUUGCUCAAAAUUAAGGACAACAAGGUGGUGAUGGUGAUUCUUUUGUAUUAUCCAGUUCAAGUGAUGGCAAUGAUGAUGGUUAUGAUGGUGAAGGUGGAGAAGAAACCAUAGGUGGACGUGGUGCAACUAGUAGUUCACAUCAAGCUUCACCUAGUCAAAGACAAAGUGAUGGUACUAGCAAUGCUUAUGAUCCAUCUCCAGCAAUGCAAUGCACAUAUUAAUAAUCUCGUGGCUCGCAUAGUGGUAGUGGUGAUACAUCCUGAACAAAGGGUAAAGGCAUUGCAUAUGAAGAACAUUCUAUUGAUUCAACUAAUUAUGAAUAUGGAUUUGGGUCUUACGGUAUGCAUGGACAUGACCAUGGAGGCUCAUCAACUGAAGAUACUUCUUCUAGUAAUUAUGGAUAUGGGCAAUUUGAAUGGGCACACUCAAAUCCAUAUCCAUAUAAUUAUCCUUCUAUAUAUUCAAAUGUCUCCUCAUUAGAGUCAUCAGAGCAACCACUAUACUCUCAACAACCCAAUUUGAGUGAUCCUUUUGGUGUGGGUUCCUUAUGCGGCUUUAAUCCAUCAUAAUACUACCAAUAUAGUCAAGUUGAUGAUCAAAGCUCUCAAAGUCAGAAUCAAAGUCAAGACCAAUAAGAACCUCCAAGACACUGAUUUUGGUGGUAGUAAGGCACUUCUUAACCAUGUGGGCUAAACACCAGAGAUCAGCCAUGGAGUAUUGGUUGAAAUGGCCGAACAGAGAAGGACUUGGAGAAGAAAACAAAGCCCAUCCUGGAUACUUUGAGGAGUUACCAAGACUUGCCACUGAUUUUGGUGUUAAUACAGGAUAAAGCCUUAGCUGCUCUGGCAGUGGAGGACAAGAAAAGACAGUAUGCUGCUGCUGAGACGUAUCUUGAAGAUUUAUUCCAUUCAGCCCUUGCCACAUCUGAUUAAACACCUUGCAUAUAGAUGAUUGUUGUAUUCUCUUAUUUGUUCAGGUACAUUUUUCUUUUAGUACAGAAACUAUGAAGUGAUUGUCUCUGAUGUGCCAAUGAUACUUCCACUUCUUCCACUUCUGGUUUUCUAUCCUUUGUAUUUGGUGUAAGGAGAAAGUGCUAAUUCAGUAAUGUUAAAAAGUGUUCGGAGUACAAAACAAAGAUCAUAGUAUAUAUGUUUGACAAAUUAUUGAAAUACGUAUCAUUAAUGUUUUGAAUUGGAU